This 497-nucleotide ribosomal RNA is filed under the name uncultured bacterium. RNAcentral describes it as "partial 16S ribosomal RNA". It matches the Rfam family "Bacterial small subunit ribosomal RNA", at positions 29 to 507 of the family's 1533-position model. The record is from RNAcentral.
UAUGAACGCUGGCGGCGUGCCUAAUACAUGCAAGUCGAGCGAACAGACGAGGCGCUUGCUCCUCUGACGUUAGCGGCGGGCGGGUGAGAAACACGUGGAUAACCUACCUAUCAGACUGGGAUAAUUUCGGGAAACCGGAGCUAAUACCGGAUAACAUGCUGAACCGCAUGGUUCAAUAGUGAAAGACGGCCUUGCUGUCACUUAUAGAUGGAUCCGCGCCGCAUUAGCUAGUUGGUAAGGUAACGGCUUACCACGGCAACGAUGCGUAGCCGACCUGGUAGGGGGAUCGGCCACACUGGAGCGGAAACACGGACCAGAGGCCUGCGGGAGGGAGCAGUAGGGUAUCGGCCGCAGUGGGCGGGAGCCUGACGGAGCAACGCGGCGUGAGAGGAAGAGGUCUUCGGAUCGUAAAACUCGGUUAUGGGGUGAGAACAAAUUUGGAAGUAACUGUGCACGUAUUGACGGUACCGAAUCAGAAAGCCACGGCUAACUACGUG